CCGGAAAAAUGUUAGGCGAUUGGGGUCCGCGGGUCCCGGGACCACUUGGAAGGCGCACGAAAAUAUGGGAAUCGGGCGGAAUUCUAGUUUUUUGGCCGUAAAAUGCAAAUCAUGAGGAAAGGUCAUGGCGGGGCGGUGACUAUGGUUCCUUAGGUCGUAUUUGAUGGUCCGGAAAAAUCUUAGGCGAUCAGGGUAUGGGGAUUCCAGGACCACUUGAAGGCGUGAGCUAGCACACGAAAAUAUGGGAAUCGGGCGGAAUUCUAGUUUUUUGGCCGUAAAAUGCAAAAACUGAGGAACGAUCAUGGCGGGGUGGUGACUAUGGUUCCUUAGGUCUUAUUUGAUGGCCCGGAAAAAUUUUAGGCGAUCGG
This 368-nucleotide long non-coding RNA is filed under the name Nicotiana tabacum (common tobacco). RNAcentral describes it as "long non-coding RNA (NTAB_LNC007370)". Lineage: Eukaryota; Viridiplantae; Streptophyta; Magnoliopsida; Solanales; Solanaceae. The record is from RNAcentral.